Molecule: ribosomal RNA, 503 nt
Filed under: uncultured bacterium
Lineage: Bacteria
Description: SSU rRNA
Rfam family: Bacterial small subunit ribosomal RNA
Source: RNAcentral
AGGACGAACGCUGGCGGCGCGCCUAAUACAUGCAAGUCGAGCGAGAAAUCCGGGGCUUGCCCCGGGUGGACAGCGGCGAACGGGUGAGGAACACGUGAGAAACCUGCCCCGAAGACCGGGAUAACACCGGGAAACCGGUGCUAAUACCGGAUGCCCUCACCGGACCGCAUGAUCCGGUGAGGAAAUGGAUUCCGCUUCGGGAUGGUCUCGCGGCCUAUCAGCUUGUUGGUGGGGUAAUGGCCUACCAAGGCUUCGACGGGUAGCUGGUCUGAGAGGAUGUCCAGCCACACUGGGACUGAGACACGGCCCAGACACCUACGGGUGGCAGCAGUCGAGAAUUUUUCUCAAUGGGGGAAACCCUGAAGGAGCGACGCCGCGUGGAGGAUGAAGGUCUUCGGGUUGUAAACUCCUGUCAUUUGGGAACAGGCGUAGGUAUUAACUGUAUCUACGUUGAUAGUACCAGAAGAGGAAGAGACGGCUAACUCUGCGCCAGCAGCCGCGGU